This 254-nucleotide ribosomal RNA is filed under the name uncultured bacterium. RNAcentral describes it as "partial 16S ribosomal RNA". It matches the Rfam family "Bacterial small subunit ribosomal RNA", at positions 524 to 776 of the family's 1533-position model. The record is from RNAcentral.
CACGUAGGGGGCAAGCGUUGUCCGGAUUUAUUGGGCGUAAAGAGCUCGUAGGCGGCUCAGUAAGUCAGGUGUGAAACCUCCAGGCUCAACCUGGAGACGCCACCUGAUACUGCUGUGGCUAGAGUCCGGUAGGGGAGCGUGGAAUUCCUGGUGUAGCGGUGAAAUGCGCAGAUAUCAGGAGGAACACCAGCGGCGAAGGCGGCGCUCAGGGCCGGAACUGACGCUGAGGAGCGAAAGCGUGGGUAGCAAACAGG